ACACUCUUUCUUCCACACACGUGUCGAUCGAUAAUUGGUUAUACAGGAUUCAUUUUCCUUUUGGAGUGUGGACCCUCUACCUUAGACAGAGAGUUCGUGCAGAGACUAAUAUGGCUGCUGCUGACCUGUCUCGCUCAAAGCAACGUCGUCGUUUUAAAAUUUGCCCAGCUCAAAAAUUUAGACGUAAAUUCCAAAGAUUGUUUUUGUGGUCGA
Arabidopsis thaliana (thale cress) is the source of this 213-nucleotide long non-coding RNA. RefSeq annotates it as other RNA. The transcript has a single exon. The record is from RefSeq. NCBI's taxonomy places the organism in Eukaryota, Viridiplantae, Streptophyta, Magnoliopsida, Brassicales, Brassicaceae.